GACGAACGCUGGCGGCGGGCUUAACACAUGCAAGUCGAACGAACGCCUUCGGGCGUUAGUGGCGCACGGGUGAGUAACACGUAGGCAAUCUACCCUCGGCUGGGGAAUAACCAGGGGAAACCCUGGCUAAUACCGCAUAACAUCUGGACGUCGCCUGGCGACCAGAUCAAAGCUUUAUGUGGCCGAGGAUGAGCCUGCGUCGGAUUAGCUAGUUGGUGGGUAACGGCCUACCAAGGCGACGAUCCGUAGCGGGUCUGAGAGGAUGAUCCGCCACACUGGCACUGAGACACGGGCCAGACUCCUACGGGAGGCAGCAGUGAGGAAUAUUGCGCAAUGGACGAAAGUCUGACGCAGCCACGCCGCGUGCAGGAAGACACCCC
Molecule: ribosomal RNA, 380 nt
Filed under: uncultured bacterium
Lineage: Bacteria
Description: bacterial SSU rRNA
Rfam family: Bacterial small subunit ribosomal RNA
Source: RNAcentral